UGAGACCCGAAAGAUGGUGAACUAUGCCUGGCCAGGAUGAAGUCAGGGGAAACCCUGAUAGAAGUCCGUAGCGAUUCUGACGUGCAAAUCGAUCGUCGUAUCUGGGUAUAGGGGCGAAAGACUAAUCGAACUAUCUAAUAGCUGGUUUCCUUCGAAGUUUCCCUCAGGAUAGCUGGCGCAUAAUAUAAUGCAAUCUCUCCCGGUAAAGCGAAUGAUUAGAGGUCUUGGGGCCGAAACGGCUUCAACCUAUUCUCAAACUUUAAAUGUGUGAGAAGUCUGGCUUGUUUAAGUAAAGUCUGGACUAUUAUAUAUAUAGAUGCUCAUGUGCCAAGUGGGCCAUUUUUGGUAAGCAGAACUGGCGCUGUGGGAUGAACCGAACGCCAAGUUAAGGCGCCCGAGAGUGACGCUCAUAAGACACCACAAAAGGUGUUGGUUGCUAUAGACAGCAG
This 449-nucleotide ribosomal RNA is filed under the name Florarctus sp. 2 AJ-2010. RNAcentral describes it as "eukaryotic LSU rRNA". It matches the Rfam family "Eukaryotic large subunit ribosomal RNA", at positions 810 to 1243 of the family's 3401-position model. Lineage: Eukaryota; Metazoa; Tardigrada; Heterotardigrada; Arthrotardigrada; Halechiniscidae. The record is from RNAcentral.